UAGUUUGAUCCUGGCUCAGGACGAACGCUGGCGGCGUGCUUAAACCAUGCAAGUCGAGCGACGACACUUCGAGGGGUAACCCUCGGGGUGGACGGAGCGGCGAACGGGUGAGUAACACGUGAGGAACCUGCCCUGAAGUUCGGAAUAGCCCGAGGAAACUCGGAUUAAUACCGAAUACCCAUUUCUGAUCGCAUGGUCGGAUAUGGAAAGAUUUAUCGCUUCGGGAUGGUCUCGCGGCCUACCAGCUUGUUGGUGGGGUAAAGGCCCACCAAGGCGACGACGGGUAGCUGGCGUGAGAGCGUGACCAGCCACACUGGGACUGAGAUACGGCCCAGACUCCUACGGGAGGCAGCAGGUAGGAAUUUUGCGCAAUGGGCGAAAGCCUGACGCAGCAACGCCGCGUGGGGGAUGAAGGCCCUCGGGUCGUAAACCCCUUUCGAUGGGGAAGAAGCGAAAGUGACGGUACCCAGAGAAGAAGCCCCGGCUAACUACGUGCCAGCAGCCGCGGUAAUACGUAGGGGGCAAGCGUUGUCCGGAAUUAUUGGGCGUAAAGAGCUCGUAGGCGGUUACGGAAGUCGGAUGUGAAAUAUCGGGGCUCAACCCCGGGAUGCCAUUCGAUACUCCGUUGACUAGAGUCCGGUAGGGGAAGGUGGAAUUCCUGGUGUAGCGGUGAAAUGCACAGA
Molecule: ribosomal RNA, 683 nt
Filed under: uncultured bacterium
Lineage: Bacteria
Description: bacterial SSU rRNA
Rfam family: Bacterial small subunit ribosomal RNA
Source: RNAcentral